GGGGAUGUAGCUCAUUUGGUUAGAGCGCUUGCAUGGCAUGCAAGAGUUACGGGGUUCGACUCCCCGCAUCUCCACCA
This 77-nucleotide transfer RNA is filed under the name bacterium I07. RNAcentral describes it as "tRNA-Ala". It matches the Rfam family "tRNA". From Rfam's summary of the family: Transfer RNA (tRNA) molecules are approximately 80 nucleotides in length. Their secondary structure includes four short double-helical elements and three loops (D, anti-codon, and T loops). The record is from RNAcentral.